GAUCCUGGCUCAGGAUGAACGCUAGCGGCAGGCUUAAUACAUGCAAGUCGUACGGGAUCCGAGGUAGCAAUACUUUGGUGAGAGUGGCGCACGGGUGCGUAACACGUAUGCAACCUACCUAUAACCGGGACACAACCUCGAGAAAUUGAGGCUAAUAUCCCAUAACACUGCGAGAUGGCAUCAUUUUGCAGUUAAAACUCCGGUGGUUAUAGAUGGGCAUGCGCGACAUUAGCUAGUUGGUGAGGUAACGGCCCACCAAGGCUACGAUGUCUAGGGGUUCUGAGAGGAUUAUCCCCCACACUGGUACUGAGACACGGUCCAGACUCCUACGGGAGGCAGCAGUGGGGAAUAUUGGUCAAUGGGCGAAAGCCUGAACCAGCCAUGCCGCGUGCAGGAUGAAGGCCCUCUGGGUUGUAAACUUCUUUUAUAUGGGACGAAAAAAGGCUUUUCUAAGUCGUCUGACGGUACCAUAUGAAUAAGCACCGGCUAACUCCGUG
RNAcentral lists this ribosomal RNA (497 nucleotides) under uncultured bacterium. RNAcentral describes it as "bacterial SSU rRNA". It matches the Rfam family "Bacterial small subunit ribosomal RNA", at positions 15 to 507 of the family's 1533-position model. The record is from RNAcentral.